CGGUUAAGUUAGAAAGGGCGCACGGUGGAUGCCUUGGCACUAGGAGCCGAUGAAGGACGGGACGAACACCGAUAUGCUUCGGGGAGCUGUAAGCAAGCUUUGAUCCGGAGAUUUCCGAAUGGGGAAACCCACCACUCGUAAUGGAGUGGUAUCCAUAUCUGAAUACAUAGGGUAUGAGAAGGCAGACCCGGGGAACUGAAACAUCUAAGUACCCGGAGGAAGAGAAAGCAAAUGCGAUUCCCUGAGUAGCGGCGAGCGAAACGGGACCAGCCCAAACCAAGAGGCUUGCCUCUUGGGGUUGUAGGACACUCUGUACGGAGUUACAAAGGAACGAGGUAGAUGAAGAGGUCUGGAAAGGCCCGCCAUAGGAGGUAACAGCCCUGUAGUCAAAACUUCGUUCUCUCCUGAGUGGAUCCUGAGUACGGCGGAACACGUGAAAUUCCGUCGGAAUCCGGGAGGACCAUCUCCCAAGGCUAAAUACUCCCUAGUGACCGAUAGUGAACCAGUACCGUGAGGGAAAGGUGAAAAGCACCCCGGAAGGGGAGUGAAAGAGAUCCUGAAACCGUGUGCCUACAAGUAGUCAGAGCCCGUUAACGGGUGAUGGCGUGCCUUUUGUAGAAUGAACCGGCGAGUUACGAUCCCGUGCAAGGUUAAGCAGAAGAUGCGGAGCCGCAGCGAAAGCGAGUCUGAAUAGGGCGAAUUGAGUACGUGGUCGUAGACCCGAAACCAGGUGAUCUACCCAUGUCCAGGGUGAAGUUCAGGUAACACUGAAUGGAGGCCCGAACCCACGCACGUUGAAAAGUGCGGGGAUGAGGUGUGGGUAGGGGUGAAAUGCCAAUCGAACCUGGAGAUAGCUGGUUCUCUCCGAAAUAGCUUUAGGGCUAGCCUCAAGGUAAGAGUCUCGGAGGUAGAGCACUGAUUGGACUAGGGGCCCCUACCGGGUUACCGAAUUCAGUCAAACUCCGAAUGCCGAUGACUUAUCCUUGGGAGUCAGACUGCGAGUGAUAAGAUCCGUAGUCGAAAGGGAAACAGCCCAGACCGCCAGCUAAGGUCCCAAAGUAUACGUUAAGUGGAAAAGGAUGUGGAGUUGCUUAGACAACCAGGAUGUUGGCUUAGAAGCAGCCACCAUUUAAAGAGUGCGUAAUAGCUCACUGGUCGAGUGACUCUGCGCCGAAAAUGUACCGGGGCUAAACGUAUCACCGAAGCUGCGGACUGUUCUUCGAACAGUGGUAGGAGAGCGUUCUAAGGGCUGUGAAGCAAGACCGGAAGGACUUGUGGAGCGCUUAGAAGUGAGAAUGCCGGUAUGAGUAGCGAAAGAGGGGUGAGAAUCCCCUCCACCGAAUGCCUAAGGUUUCCUGAGGAAGGCUCGUCCGCUCAGGGUUAGUCGGGACCUAAGCCGAGGCCGAAAGGCGUAGGCGAUGGACAACAGGUUGAUAUUCCUGUACCACCUCCUCACCAUUUGAGCAAUGGGGGGACGCAGGAGGAUAGGGUAAGCGCGGUAUUGGAUAUCCGCGUCCAAGCAGUUAGGCUGGGAAAUAGGCAAAUCCGUUUCCCGUGAAGGCUGAGCUGUGAUGGCGAGCGAAUUAUAGUAGCGAAGUUCCUGAUUCCACACUGCCAAGAAAAGCCUCUAGCGAGGUGAGAGGUGCCCGUACCGCAAACCGACACAGGUAGGCGAGGAGAGAAUCCUAAGGUGAUCGAGAGAACUCUCGUUAAGGAACUCGGCAAAAUGACCCCGUAACUUCGGGAGAAGGGGUGCUCUGUUAGGGUGCAAGCCCCGCAGUGAAUAGGCCCAGGCGACUGUUUAGCAAAAACACAGGUCUCUGCGAAGCCGUAAGGCGAAGUAUAGGGGCUGACGCCUGCCCGGUGCUGGAAGGUUAAGAGGAGCGCUUAGCGUAAGCGAAGGUGCGAAUUGAAGCCCCAGUAAACGGCGGCCGUAACUAUAACGGUCCUAAGGUAGCGAAAUUCCUUGUCGGGUAAGUUCCGACCCGCACGAAAGGCGCAACGAUCUGGGCACUGUCUCAACGAGAGACUCGGUGAAAUUAUAGUACCUGUGAAGAUGCAGGUUACCCGCGACAGGACGGAAAGACCCCGUGGAGCUUUACUGCAGCCUGAUAUUGAAUGUUGGUACAGCUUGUACAGGAUAGGUAGGAGCCUUGGAAACCGGAGCGCCAGCUUCGGUGGAGGCAUCGGUGGGAUACUACCCUGGCUGUAUUGACCUUCUAACCCGCCGCCCUUAUCGGGCGGGGAGACAGUGUCAGGUGGGCAGUUUGACUGGGGCGGUCGCCUCCUAAAAGGUAACGGAGGCGCCCAAAGGUUCCCUCAGAAUGGUUGGAAAUCAUUCGCAGAGUGUAAAGGCACAAGGGAGCUUGACUGCGAGACCUACAAGUCGAGCAGGGACGAAAGUCGGGCUUAGUGAUCCGGUGGUUCCGCAUGGAAGGGCCAUCGCUCAACGGAUAAAAGCUACCCCGGGGAUAACAGGCUUAUCUCCCCCAAGAGUCCACAUCGACGGGGAGGUUUGGCACCUCGAUGUCGGCUCAUCGCAUCCUGGGGCUGUAGUCGGUCCCAAGGGUUGGGCUGUUCGCCCAUUAAAGCGGUACGCGAGCUGGGUUCAGAACGUCGUGAGACAGUUCGGUCCCUAUCCGUCGCGGGCGCAGGAAAUUUGAGAGGAGCUGUCCUUAGUACGAGAGGACCGGGAUGGACGCACCGCUGGUGUACCAGUUGUUCUGCCAAGGGCAUCGCUGGGUAGCUAUGUGCGGACGGGAUAAGUGCUGAAAGCAUCUAAGCAUGAAGCCCCCCUCAAGAUGAGAUUUCCCAUUCCGCAAGGAAGUAAGAUCCCUGAAAGAUGAUCAGGUUGAUAGGUCUGAGGUGGAAGUGUGGCGACACAUGGAGCUGACAGAUACUAAUCGAUCGAGGACUUAACCAAUUU
This 2926-nucleotide ribosomal RNA is filed under the name Bacillus velezensis. RNAcentral describes it as "23S ribosomal RNA". It matches the Rfam family "Bacterial large subunit ribosomal RNA". Lineage: Bacteria; Bacillati; Bacillota; Bacilli; Caryophanales; Bacillaceae. The record is from RNAcentral.